AUAAUGAGGCUGGACUGGCAAAGAAUCAGGCAGAUUUCCAGCAGGAAGGGGCGUCAGAUGGUACCAGAUCCAGAGGCCUCAUCUUCCAAAGAGGAAACAGGUUGAGACAUCCACGAAGGGAUUCAUGGGCAGUUCUGGAUCUGGAUCCGGAGAGGCAGUUUUUGCAAAGGCGGUUUCAAUUCAGUCCUGAGAAAGCGACCAGCACGGAUCCCACGAAAGCAGCAGGAGGAUGUGGGUCCCCAAUGGAGUGGAGGCCUGGAAAGAGGGGACAUGGGUGACGAGUCUUCGAUACUGGAAGGGCAGCCUACCUGAGAGGAGCUGUUGAGGCCCCAGCCAUGCCGCCCACAGUCGAGGGUGCCCUGCAGGCCUCUGGCCCCCAGGAAGGCAGGGCAGGAGUCCUGCAUCCUUGCCCAGCAUGGCGGCCAGAAAGUGUCGGGCUUCUACUGAUGCUGCCUCAAUCACAAAAACCAUGAGCUCCAUGGAGUUCGUAAGGAGACAGUUCUCCUCACCACUUCCUGGAAACCAGGAGACAGGGAAUAGCCCCAAGCCAGCCAGGUCUUGCCAGCAUGAUGAGGAAGUCCCCUCUGCUGGAACCUUCCAAGGAAAACCUCUUGGAAAUGACCAAUCUGCUUUUUGUUCUGUGUCUGCCUCCUCAGCCCCUUUCUGUUUACAGAACCAACCUCCUCUACCCAGCACGCAGGAGCCCUCGUUCUGUUUUAUAGAAUGGGGUGUUUCCCAGUUCUAGAAUUGCAAAUAAAGCCAAGUUUGUGGUAAUUUUGUCUCUAUCAAAUUGAAAACAAGGAAACUUUCAUUCUUUUUAAUCUGGUACUUUUC
Molecule: long non-coding RNA, 834 nt
Filed under: Homo sapiens (human)
Lineage: Eukaryota; Metazoa; Chordata; Mammalia; Primates; Hominidae
Description: HSALNT0131593
Source: RNAcentral